Non-coding RNA from Acanthosepion pharaonis, 114 nucleotides. NCBI's taxonomy places the organism in Eukaryota, Metazoa, Mollusca, Cephalopoda, Sepiida, Sepiidae. The record is from the annotation of a GenBank genome assembly.
UACAACCAUUUCACGUUGUAACACCGAUUUCCGUACGAUCAGUGAAGUUAAGCAAAGUCGAGCCUGGUCAGUGCCUAGAUGGGUAACAGCUUGGGAAUAACCGGUUGCUGUAAG